UUUGAUCAUGAAUUCUAUCAUUUUGGCUGCAUGUGUAUACAAACGCCAUGUAACUAGAGUGAUAUUCUUUGUGAUUUUA
This is a non-coding RNA of Strongylocentrotus purpuratus (purple sea urchin), 79 nucleotides long. Lineage: Eukaryota; Metazoa; Echinodermata; Echinoidea; Camarodonta; Strongylocentrotidae. The record is from RefSeq and is marked provisional.